UCUCUCUGAAUCUGCGAACGGCUCCGCAAACCAGUUGUAAACUAUAGCAAGCAAGCCUUGUGCCUGCCUUCACGGGUGGGUGCUUGGCGAUAUGGAUAACCCUGGUAAUUCUGAGGCUAAUACAAGAACGUAAAACCUGGCUGACUGCUUUGGUGGAAGGCUGGGGGACGUGCGAGUUGUGUCGCGAGAAUUUUCCGGGAAUGGACGCACGUUCAGACCGCGCUAAAAAGGAUCGGUUUCCCUUCACGGGGGGGCUGGCCCCAGCGGCUCUUGCUUUGUGCUUCUGACCUAUCAACUAGAUGGCAGCGUAACGGACAUGCUAUGGUGACAACGGGUACAGAGGAUUAGGGUUUGAUCCUGGAGAGUGGGCCUGAGAGAUU
RNAcentral lists this ribosomal RNA (380 nucleotides) under Didymium melanospermum. RNAcentral describes it as "SSU rRNA". It matches the Rfam family "Eukaryotic small subunit ribosomal RNA", at positions 76 to 405 of the family's 1831-position model. Lineage: Eukaryota; Evosea; Eumycetozoa; Physariida; Didymiaceae. The record is from RNAcentral.